UACGGGGGGGGCAAGCGUUGUUCGGAAUUACUGGGCGUAAAGGGCUCGUAGGCGGCCAACUAAGUCAGACGUGAAAUCCCUCGGCUUAACCGGGGAACUGCGUCUGAUACUGGAUGGCUUGAGUUUGGGAGAGGGAUGCGGAAUUCCAGGUGUAGCGGUGAAAUGCGUAGAUAUCGGGAGGAACGCCGAUGGCGAAGGCAGGUCUCUGGGAUGACACUGACGCUCAUGCACGAAAGCGUGGGGAGCAAACAGG
Molecule: ribosomal RNA, 253 nt
Filed under: uncultured bacterium
Lineage: Bacteria
Description: partial 16S ribosomal RNA
Rfam family: Bacterial small subunit ribosomal RNA
Source: RNAcentral